Long non-coding RNA from Mangifera indica (mango), 1973 nucleotides. RefSeq lists it as uncharacterized. Lineage: Eukaryota; Viridiplantae; Streptophyta; Magnoliopsida; Sapindales; Anacardiaceae. The transcript is spliced from 3 exons. The record is from RefSeq and is a predicted model, not a curated record.
CUCUGUUUCUGCAGAGCUAUUCGAUCUUCUUGGUUCGUUCUUCCAAGAACACGGCUUCGUCCUUCUCCGGAAAUCUUCAUCACCGUAAGAUUCAACUUCAACAUCCAUCUGGUUCUGCGUUUAUCAUUUGCGCUCAAGGAAGAUCGUGCGCUAAGGGAUUAUGUCUCUGAGAUUGACGUCAUGUUUCACGGACGAAGAGAUCAAGACUCUUCCUUUUUUACCAAGACGUCACAGAAUGUUCUUUCUUUGCGCUUCAUACGUGCAAGGUUUUAGCUGCCUGGGGAGUCUACAUGGAGGCAGUGGUUGAUGGGUAUUCUUCAAGUCAGUGGUGGCAGAUAAUCUGGUUGUGUAAUCUAUUGUAACCAGGACCGAAAUGGGAUAUAAUUGUGAUGAUAGAUGAGUGAAAUGUACUGGGAUAAAGAAGCCCUUAUGCAGGGGGUUUGAGCCCCGGUUUUGUCAUCCGACCUUUGCCAUGACAGGUGCGCUUGCAUGGCAGGUCACACAAAUCUUAAUAAAAUUUCUCUUUUGGUGGUUUUGAGGGGAGUUCGCACGGGAUAGUCCGGGUUCUCCCCUCUGUGUGUGGUGCGUCUGCUCUCCUUUUCAUUGCUUCUAUCUCUUUUCAUUAAAUCUGCUACGAUCGUCCUAAUGCACCCCUGUGCAUGUGCUUGGAUUCAUGAACUUGUUACUAUCUACCCCCAUGCACCAUAUCGGUUGGAUUCAUAAACCUGAUACUAUUUCCGGAUGCACUUGAGUGUUGGAUUCGUAACCAUCUCAGCUGGAUAAGGCCUUAAAUCCAUUCCAUAAUCAGAUCUUGUUGCACUAACGCAUUCUGCACUUCUACUUGAAAGAUCUGGAGGUAAAUUUCUGCCAAAUUUUAACCUUUAUAUAGAGUACUUUGUCCAACUAUGGAAAAAAAUGGGCAUACGGCAUAUAUUAGAUCCUAUUUUAACGUUUUUAUCUGUAUUUGUUGGCCUUUUGAUUAGCAUGAGGUUUUCUUAACAACUAUCCCCCACUACAGUUAUGUAUGCCAAGACAUUCAUAUUCACACAAUAUUCUCCAACAAAUUGAUCAUCUCAAAUAUUGGUCAACACUAAAUUAAACCUAAUAGAUAAGCUUUUGUGCUUUAUAGAACUGCUUGUUACAAACUAAUCUUCACGGAAAACGCCCGAUUUGGUAUUAUCUCAGCUCAUUUAAAUUUGGAUUCAUUGUGUGAAUGUUGCACCAUUGUGAUUGUAGUUUAUGGUUCUUGAUUACAUGUGGUCUACCCAUGAAAAUGUAGCUUGUAACAUUGUAAGCAUUCUGCUCUUAAGUCAUUGGUUACUUUUAUGGGAUAUAAAUCAACUAUAUUGCGGCUUCAUAUUAUUGGUUGAAUUUCCGUUGGAGCUUGAUAGGUACCUGAAUAUGGUGGCUAGCAAACCUCCAAUUCCGAUGGCUUCCAGAGGCUCAAUGAACUCCCCUCAGCUGGUCCCAGGUUUUAGCAUUCUGCUCUUGGUUACUUUUUUGGGAUAUAAAUCAACUAUAUUGCGGCUUCAUAUUAUUGGCUGAAUUUCCGUUGGAGCUUGAUAGGUACCUGAAUAUGGUGGCUAGCAAACCUCCAAUUCUGAUGGCUUCCAGAGGCUCAAUGAACUACCAUUAGUUGGUCCCUUUCUAGGUCGAGUUUACGAUCAAACCAGCCCACAGCAAACUACAGCAGCAACUCACAAACAAACAGAAAGGAAAAUGAGUAAAACAGCGGCAAUUGGUUCAGCCUUGAUACUCGAAGAACUUCACAAUUUAUGAACACAAGGAAUAUUGACGCAAAAGAAGAAAACAACAUCAUAUUGCAUUCAAAGAGCUUUAGAAAUAAUAGCCGUUACAGUAGCCAUCAGAGUAUGUAAUUGUAACUGAAAAUGGAAACAACUGAAGGAAAAGGAAAAAUAGCUAAGCUGGGUGUAAUAUAAAAUAUUGAUUCAAUAAAAUGAUUUCUUUCUUCA